This 978-nucleotide long non-coding RNA is filed under the name Felis catus (domestic cat). RNAcentral's name for it is "lncRNA (ENSFCAG00000046152.2)". The record is from RNAcentral. Lineage: Eukaryota; Metazoa; Chordata; Mammalia; Carnivora; Felidae.
CCCUUUUCCAAUUAGUUAUUUAUUUGAGUAAAAGACAGCAUCUAUCCUCCCUGUCACAUCGUGCUACUGCAUGAGAAGAGCUGAAGGUACACCAUAACUUCCAGUGAAUUCAUGUCCUGGAUGUAUGUUUGUUUGUUUCUAGAGGCUCAUAUCGGCCAGCAUAACAGUUGUAUACUUUCCAAACUGAUCUGGAGACUGACAUCAUUUAGAGUCUGAAGGCCUCAUAAAACAAAUAUUCACUGAACAUCUACUUGAGGCAGUGUGCCCUGCCAGAGGGAGAUGGGAAAGAAUGACAGGGUUUUAACCUCACUGAGUCUCUGGAAAAGGAAUUGUACUAGCCUUCAGGAAAGAAAGUGCAUAUGCAUCCCUGGAACAGUACAUUGUGAAACUAUGGAAUUACCAAAACUACAGAACAAAUACUUCAGGAGCAGAGGCUCAAGUUUUCCUGUAAGUGAAGGCUGGCAUCAGGAGGUAGGAGAGCUGCUGCUUUCUGUCAAACUCUUCUUAGCUAAGCAACUUUUUGGCCCCACUCCUCUAUGUAUGGAGAGAACUAAAUAGAAACUACUGGAAAUGUCAUAGGGGAAGGGAAGUUUCUUAUUUACACGGUAUACAGGUUGGCAAAAAAAAAAAAACACACUGGAUAUAGAGCAAAUGCAUGUACAGUUUGUCAAGGUUUCCUUAGAAAUAUGUCAAGCAACUAGAUUGGAGAGCAAGGUUGUUUGUGAAUGUUCCCACAUUUUUAACUGAGGGGACCGUAUUGUCCAUACUUGGUCCACUCUGGGCCCUCAGAAUCUUCUUCAUAUUCAUGCAGACCUACGUUUUAUUUCAGGCUAGCCUAUUUUUUUAUUUUUCCUGACUGGUGGGUAAUGUAACUGUUGCUGGUCAUCAUUAACACUUUCAUAAUUCUCUUUCCUUCUUCUACAGUCCAAUAGGUUGAAAGUGAAUAAAUUGGGUGGAUCCAUUGUGAAUUAGGACUGA